CCCUUAGAUGUCCUGGGCCGCACGCGCGCUACACUGAACGGAUCAGCGCGUUUUCCCUUCCCGAGAGGGACGGGUAACCUGCUGAACCCCGUUCGUGGUAGGGAUCGGGGCUUGCAAUUAUUCCCCGUGAACCAGGAAUGCCCAGUAAGUGCAAGUCAUAAGCUUGCGUUGAUUACGUCCCUGCCCUUUGUACACACCGCCCGUCGCUACUACCGCUUGAACGUUUUAGUGAGGUACUCGGACUGAGCCUCAGAAGAUUCACGUCUUUUGUGCUGCUCGGGAAGAUUCCCAAACUUGAGCGUUUAGAGGAAGUAAAAGUCGUAACA
Molecule: ribosomal RNA, 326 nt
Filed under: uncultured eukaryote
Lineage: Eukaryota
Description: partial 18S ribosomal RNA
Rfam family: Eukaryotic small subunit ribosomal RNA
Source: RNAcentral